UAUAUAUAUAUAUACAUAUAUACAUACAUAUAUACAUAUAUACAUAUAUACAUAUAUAUACACAUAUAUACAUAUAUAUAUAUACAUAUAUACAUAUAUACAUAUAUAUACAUAUAUAUAUAUAUAUAAUUAUAUAAUUGCUUAUACAAUUAAGGGAAUAUUAAUAAUUUUUAAAAUUUGGUAUCAUUAAUUAUUAGUUAAGUUAUUAAAAAAAAGAAUCUACGUUAUUAGUUCUGAUUCUUCAAAAAGAGGCGAAGGCUUUUGCCUCAGACUAAAACAGAACACUGAGUAAUCAUGAUUCAAAAGAAGCUACGUGGGAGGUCGAGGAAGAUAUGAGGAAGAAGUAUCCUUAUUUAUUUGAGGAAAAAGAUAUGUGAACCUAAGUUUGGUUUUACAUUUAUAUUUCAUUAUUAAAUACGAGUUAGCAAGUGUUUCCUUCCUAGAUUAUAGUUAGUUGUCUUAGUGAUUUAGUUUAUGUCAGAGUAUAUUUAAUUCAUUAAAGUGCUUUACUUGUGCUAAAGUAGUUGUGCGUUAGAUUCUUGUAAGUUAUUGUGGUGCCUCCUUGCCAGAGUGUGAGUAAUUAAUUUAAGAGCUGUGUAUGACGCCUAUGAAUGGCGUGUUAUGGUAUAUUUGGUUGUUGUUGGUGUAGUUGGGCUAUUUGUGACAAAGAUAUUUUUUGAUAGUCCAAUUUACAACGGAAACUCUGUCGAAAUUAUUAAAAAAAGUGAGUAAUGCUAAGAAAACUUAAGAGGUUCAAGGACCUAAGGAAUGAUUGUUAGCUUAAGAAUAAGUCCCUAGGAACAUUCGAGGAUGAAUGUUUUUAAGGAGGGAAGAUUGUAACACUCCCCAAAUUUAUAAAAACAUUUCGAGACACGCUAACUAUAGACUUAAAUUAUUAUUAUUUUUAUCUUAUAUAUAUAUAUAUAUAUAUAUACACACACGCACACACACGCACACACACACACACACACACACAUAUAUAUAUAUAUAUAUGUAUAUAUAUAUAUAUAAAUUGGUUAUACAAUUAGGGGAAUAUUAAUAAUUUUUAAAAUUUGGUAUCAUUAAUUAUUAGUUGAGUUAUUUAAAAAAAAACCCAAGCAAUAUUUCCCGCAGACAACACGGAAAGAUUCAAGUGUUCUUUACAAAUCACUAAUUCUUAAAUUCAGGUAUAUAAAAUUCCCUAUUUCAAUUAUCCUAAAGUAAUAAUAGGUAAGAAUUGAAUAGCUAAUUCCCUUCUUCCCUAUAUUAAUAAUAAAGUUCAUAAUUAGGUGUAGUACUUGAAAAUAUACACUGGUUAUUGUAGAAUCAAUUGUUUGACGGGUAUAAAUUGGACUAGAGUCUAUGUAUUGGCUCAAGAAAUUUUGAGGUGAGUUGAUAUAACCCUUUACUAAAGUGGUUUAACUCACAAAAGCAUGCAUAAAAGGUGUUUGAUGAAUUUCUUAAAAGAAAUUAUCUUUAUUUAAUUAGAGCGAGUGAGUACCCAUUAAUUUAGAAUGGUUCUAGCAAAAGUUUAGAGGAUCUACAUGAUAUAUGUGCUGAAUUUUUUUCCAUAUUUUUGUGUUAUUUUUAUAUGCUAAUUUCAUAUUGCAACUUUAUGAAGAAGAAAGAAUCUUUAGAAAUAUCGUUAUAUGUUUAGUUCAUUCUUAUGUCAUCCUUUACAUUUAAGGACACCAUUAUUAGCAUGUACAUAAUGUUCUAUAAAGAAAAGUAUUAGAAUUGAAAAGUCACAAGAAGAAGUUUUAGAAAGAAAAGAUUUUUGGGGAGUAUCCUUUAUUCUGAGAAGGGGUAAUCGUCCAGGCCGAGGGUCCUGACCAAGGCGUUUACUUCCGAAACUACUUGUGCCAAAGUAGGGAGCACACGAGCCGAGGGUCUCGUUGCUGAGAAUUUACUUAGCCAUGCUAAGGUAUGAUACAUGAGCGCUGAGAAGCAUGAAGCGAGUGGCACCUCGUGGAUUGGGCCUAUUCGAUUAGGUUGGGAUCGAACCCGUGCCGAUCACACGGUGACUGAGACAGAAUUAAGUCAGGAUAGUUGGAACUCUCAAAGUAUAAAGUGAAGUGUGUUUUUUGAAAGGAAAAGAAAAGAAUUUCUUUUAGAAUGUUCAUAAAGUGCUAUUAUGCAAUUAUUUUAGAAUUAUUUUUAUAAGCUUUAUGUUUUACAUGCAUUUAGAACCUUUGCUCGUAAUGUAUAUGUUAUUGAAGUUUCUCCCCCUGUUGUUGAGACUCACUGAAUGUAGUGGAUGGUACUGACGUUCUCUUUUGGGAACCUACGUUGGUCUGCGGUACAAUGUAGGAAUCGGAUUUGCAGGCGAGUAGGCUACGAGUUAGGACUUAUAUAGUGGAUGAUACUGACGUUCUCUUUUGGAACCUACGUUGGUCUGCGGUACAAUGUAGGAACCGGAUUUGCAGACGAGUAGGCUACGAGUUAGGACUUCCUUCCCUUCCAGUGAUAUUGGUGAGCUCCGUUUUUUUUGGUGGAGUAUUCUUAGAGUCGUUUCCAUUUUGCUAUUUCUUUAUUUAUUUAGAGAACUGGCCAAGGAAUCUCAUGUCCUGAGCAGUGCGUCAGUCUAUCAGUAGAGGCUUCAUAGACAUAGUCAUUGGGUUGAGAUUUAGAUGUUAUUUUUUUAUAACUUAGCAGUAAUUCAGUUGUUUCAACGAAUAAAGCUUUGAAGUUUAUUUAUUUAAAUAUUUAAAUUAAUCAAACAUGUUAGUUUUUAUUACUUAGCAGUAAUUCGGUAGUUACUACGUAUAAAGCUUUGGAGUUUAUUUAUUUAAAUAAUUAAAUUAAUCGAAAGUAUUUGGUUAUAGUACUGCUUUGUUGCAUAUAAAGUUUGGAGUUAUAAUAAGUUUGAUAAGUAGAGAUUGUUCGCUUGGUCAUGUUUAGUGAACGAGUGCCGGUCUCGGCUUGUUUAGAAAAUGGGUCGUGACAAACUUGGUAUCAGAGCCUCAGGUUUAUGAAGUCUUAGGGGUCUAUGAAGCCGUGUGGGUUGAGUCUUGUUUAUGGGUAUAAAGCGCGCCAUACUUAUAAACAUGAGGCUACAAGCAUUUAGGAAAAAUCUCAUUUUUUCAUACUUUAGAUCCUGCAGUAGAGCCUACCUCUAAGAAAUUAUCUAAUGUAUUCUUUUUUCAAAAACUUACAGAAAUGGCUCCUACUCGCAACUUUGAAAUCGACACUCAGGAUGGUGCUCAAGAAACUAUUGCUACUAUUAUGGCUCAAGGAAUAACUAAAAAGGCUCGAACUUAGAAAAGGAAGGGUAAAUCCACUAGGGGGUUCAAGUACCCCAGGUUGAACAUGAAGAAGGGGUGGAGCAUGAUGAGCAACUACCUCAGGAUCCAACCCCAACCCCAACCCCAACAGCAUAUCCGACUCAAACAACUAUAUUGCCAGAGGUGGGUCAGAUGUUCAAUGUAGUCAACAAUGCUAUGGAGUUGUUUAAGGCCUUUAUGGCCAAUCAGAGCGAGAAGAGAGAUAAAUUUCUACCUCAAACAAAUAGGCAGAACAAUUCUGAGUCCUCAAUAGUGAAUGAAUUUCUGAAGUUGAGUCCUCAAGUGUUCCAUGGUUCUAUAGUUGAUGAAGAUCCAAUGUUAUGGAUGGAGGGUGUUAAGAAAGCUCCCCGAGUGAUGAAAGUAUAUGAUGACAAAGCUGUGGAAUUGGCUGCUUACCAGCUUAGAGAUGUGGCUGGCGCUUGGUUUGAGAUGUGGGAAAAAGAGAGAGAUGAAGAUAUUGGUCCACCUACUUGGGAAGAAUUUGAAGAGGCCUUCAUAUAUGAACUCAUUAGCACCAUCUCAGUCCAGUCAUCAGUCAGGUGGUGGGUCUUCCUUCGGACGUGCUCAGAGUUAUGGAAAUCAGUCUCGCCAGAAUCAAAAUUUUAGGACAUCAUCCACACAUAGCCAGAGUCAUGUUGAGCAACAUUCACACCAGGAAGGUAUUUGUGGAAUAUGUAAGCACAACAUUCAGGUCAGUGCAAGCUCGAGUUUCAUGGUUGCUACCAUUGUGGAGGCAUUGGUCAUAUAAAGACCAACUGCCCAAAGUUGCGACGUAAUUUCAGUGGUGGAUCAACUCGUCCUUCUCGUUCCUCAGCUACCGCAGUUGCACCACCUCAGGCUCGUGGUUCUCAUAAUCAGGCCGAGCAGGGGGCAAGCAGAGCUGGAGAUCGAGUUACUCAGGGCGGGGGACAACCCCGUUUGUUUGCUACACUUGAUCGUCAGAGUACAGAGGCAUCUGAAGAAGUUCUUACAUGUAUGCUUUUAGUCUGCUCACAUAAUGCUUAUGCCAUAAUGGAUCCAGACUCAACAUUUUCAUAUGUGACUCCAUAAUUUGCAAUUAACCUCGGUCUAGAACCUGAACAACUUAGUGAUCCUAGUAUCUACUCCAGUUGGCGAGUCAGUGAAAGUCACCAGAGUCUAUAGAGGUUGUAUAGNNNNNNNNNNNNNNNNNNNNNNNNNNNNNNNNNNNNNNNNNNNNNNNNNNNNNNNNNNNNNNNNNNNNNNNNNNNNNNNNNNNNNNNNNNNGAAGGUCACCAGAGUCUAUAGAGGUUGUAUAGUUUCAAUUCAAGGUCGCAACACCAAAGCCGAUAUCAUUGAGUUAGAAAUGGUGGAUUUUGAUGUGAUCAUGGGUAUUGAUUGGUUGUCUUCCUGCUAUGCCAUGUUAGAUUAUCAUGCCAAGAUAGUCAGGUUCCAAUUUCCAAAUGAAGAUUUCUUAGAGUGGAAGGGUAGUUCAGCAUCGCUUGUAGGUAAGUUUAUUUCUUACCUUAAGGCACAACGAAUGAUCGAUAAGGGGUGUUUCGCCUAUUUGGCUCACAUCAUUAAUCCAGAAUCAGAACCACCAACUCUUCAGUCAGUGCUAGUUGUUAGAGAAUUUUUAGAAGUUUUCCCAGAUGACCUUCCCGGACUUCCUCCUGAAAGAAUCAUAGACUUUGGCAUUGAUCUCAUGCCAGGUACUCAGCCCAUAUCUAUACCUCCUUAUAGGAUGGCUCCAACAGAACUUAAUGAGUUAAGAGAACAGUUGAAAGACCUUCUUGACAAGGGCUUCAUCAGGCCGAGUGUUUCACCGUGGGGUUCCCCGGUCCUGUUUGUCAAAAAGAAAGAUGGGUCUCUUAGAAUGUGUGUCGACUAUCGGCAAUUGAAUAAAGUUACCAUUAAGAGCAAGUACCCAGUGUCAAUAAUUGACGAUUUAUUUGAUCAACUUCAGGGUGCAAAGUACUUUUCAAAAUAGACUUGAGGUCGGGAUACCAUCAGUUGAGAAUCAGAAAAAAGGAUAUAUCUAAAACAGCCUUUUGAACUCGCUACGGGCACUAUGAAUUUCUAGUGAUGUCCUUCGGGUUGACAAAUGCUCCAGCUGCAUUCAUGGACCUCAUGAACAUAAUUUUCAAGCCAUUCCUGGAUACCUUUAUUAUUGUGUUUAUAAAUGAUAUUUUGGUGUACUAUAAGAGCAAGGAAGAUCAUGCAGAACACCUCAGAAUAGCCUUGCAGACCUUGAAGCGGAAUGAGCUUUAUGCCAAGUUUUCAAAAUGUGAGUUCUGGUUGCAGCCAGUGGCAUUCUUGGGCCACGUGGUAUCUAGUGAAGGGAUGAAAGUAGACCCUCAGAAGACAGAAGCAGUCAAGAACUGGCCUAGGCCGACAAUGCCAAUCAAAAUGAGGAGUUUCUUGGGGUUAGCUGGAUACUAUAGAAGGUUUGUGGAGGGGUUUUCCUUGCUUGCAGCUCCAUUAUCUAAGUUGACUCAGAAAGCAGUUAAGUUCAAAUGGUUAGACACUUGUGAGCAGAGUUUUCAAGAGUUAAAGAAGAGGUUGACCACUGCACCUGUGCUAACCUUGCCGACAGGCUUAGGUGGUUUCACAUUGUAUUGUGAUGCCUCCAGAGUGGGCCUUGGUUGUGUUUUUAUGCAAAAUGGAAAAGUUAUUGCUCACGCUUCCAGGCAGUUAAAGAAUCAUGAAAAGAACUAUCCCAUACACGACUUGGAGCUUGCAGCAGUGGUGUUUGCAUUAAAGAUAUGGCGACAUUACCUUUAUGGCGAGCAUUCUAAAGUGUUUACAGACCACAAAAGCCUCCAGCACAUUUUCAAGCAAAAAGAACUAAAUUUUAGACAGAGAAGGUGGCUCGAGCUAUUGAAAGAUUAUGACAUCAAUAUCCGUUAUCACACGGGCAAAGCUAAUGUGGUAGCAGAUGCGCUUAGUAGGAAGUCAAUGGGCAUUUUGGCCCAUCUUGCAGAACAAAGGCGAUCUUUGGGUAGAGAAAUUCAAAAACUGGCAAAUGAUGGAAUUAGAUUGGAUGAGACCGAAGAAGGAGAUAUAACUGCUUAUGCAUUAGCGCAAUCCUCCCUUGUUGCGCAUGUUCCCUACUUAGUGAAAUUAAAAGAAGGAGUCAGAAACAAAGAAAUCACUCCUUUCACUCUAGGAAGUGAUGGAGUUUUGAAGUUGAAUAAUCGGUUAUUUGUGCCUGAUGUAGGUGGUCUUAGGAAGGCCAUAAUGGAGGAAGCUCACAGUUCGAGGUACUCAAAUCACUGCUUUCGCUCUAGGAAGUGAUGGAGCUUUGAAGUUGAAUGAUCGAUUAUGUGGGCCUGAUGUAGGUGGUCUUAGGAAGGCCAUAAUGGAGGGAGCUCACAGUUCGAGGUACUCUAUCCACCAUGGUGCUACCAAAAUGUAUUUAGAUUUGAAAGAGUUGUAUUGGUGGAAAGGCAUGAAGAAACAAGUAGCAGAUCAUGUGGCUAAAUGUUUAAAUUGCCAGCAAGUCAAAGCGAGCAUCAGAGGCCUGGUGUCCUAGUCAAGACAUAAAGAUACCAUAGUGGAAGUGGGAGAUGAUUAAUAUGGAUUUCGUAGUAGGUCUUCCUCGCAUGUUCCGUACACAUGAUUCAGUUUGGGUUAUUGUAGACCGGCUGACAAAGUCCGCGCAUUUCCUAUCAGUAAAGACGACAGAUUCCGCGGAGCAGUAUGCGCAGUUGUACAUCAAAGAAAUAGUCCGAUUGCAUGGUACUCCAGUUUCAAUCAUAUAGGACAGAGGCCUUCAAUUCACAGCGCAUUUUUGGCAGGCAUUUCAGUAAAGAUUAGGUACCAAGGUCAAUUUAAGCACCGGUUUUCAUCCACAGACCGAUGGCCAGACAGAAAGGACCAUUCAGACUCUCGAAGAUAUGCUGCGUGCCUGUGUUGUAGAUUUUGGAGGUAAUUGGGAUGAUCACUUGCCACUUAUAGAAUUUGCUUACAAUAAUAGCUAUCAGGCCAUCAUUGGUAUGGCUCCUUAUGAAGCAUUGUAUGGGUGGAGAUGUAGGUCUCCGGUGGGCUGGUUUGAACCAGCAGAGGUGUCGUUGAUUGGUCCAGAGUUUGUUUAUAGCGUUGUAUGGGCAGAGAUGUAGGUCUUCGGUGGGUUGGUUUGAACCAGCAGAGGUGCCGUUGAUUGGUCCAGAGUUCGUUUGUGAGGCCUUGGGGAAAGUUCAACUAAUUAGAGAAAGACUUAAAGCGGCUCAGAGUCGUCAAAAGUCUUAUUUUGACAAAAGGCAUCGUGAGUUAGAGUUCAUGGUUGGUGAUAAGGUGUUUUUUAAAAUUUUCACCGAUGAAAGGAGUUAUGAGGUUUGGUAAGAAAGGGAAACUAAGCCGUAUGUUUAUCGGACCUUAUGAAAUUCUAGAAAAGAAAGGGAAUAUGACUUAUAAGCUAGCACUACCCGUUGAGUUGUCCUCUAUUCAUCCUGUUUUUCAUGUGUCUAUGCUUAGAAAGUACAUUCAUGAUGAGUCACAUAUAAUGCCCGCCGAUACCAUAGAAAUUAAAGAAGGUUUGAUUUAUGAAGAGUUUCCGAUAGAAAUUCUCGAUUGGCAAGUAAGAAAGUUGAGGACAAAAGAUAUAGCAUCGGUAUAAGUUUUGUGGAGUAAUCAUGAUUCAAAAGAAGCUACGUGGGAGGUCGAGGAAGAUAUGAGGAAGAAGUAUCCUUAUUUAUUUGAGGAAAAAGAUAUGUGAACCUAAGUUUGGUUUUACAUUUAUAUUUCAUUAUUAAAUACGAGUUAGCAAGUGUUUCCUUCCUAGAUUAUAGUUAGUUGUCUUAGUGAUUUAGUUUAUGUCAGAGUAUAUUUAAUUCAUUAAAGUGCUUUACUUGUGCUAAAGUAGUUGUGCGUUAUAUUCUUGUAAGUUAUUGUGGUGCCUCCUUGCCGGAGUGCGAGUAAUUAAUUUAAGAGCUGUGUAUGACGCCUAUGAAUGACGUGUUAUGGUAUAUUUGGUUGUUGUUGGUGUAGUUGGGCUAUUUGUGACAGAGAUAUUUUUUUGAUAGUCCAAUUUACAACGGAAAUUCUAUCGAAAUUUUUUAAAAAUUUAGGGAGUUAGCCAAAAUUUUGAAUCCCUUGGAAAAGUGAGUAAUGCUAAGAAAACUUAAGAUGUUCUAGGACCUAAGGAAUGAUUGUUAGCUUAAGAAUAAGUCCCUAGGAACAUUCGAGGGCGAAUGUUUUUAAGGAGGGAAGAUCUUAACACUCCCCAAAUUUAUAAAAAAAAUUUCGAGACACGCUAACUAUAGACUUAAAUUAU
RNAcentral lists this long non-coding RNA (8496 nucleotides) under Nicotiana benthamiana. Its description in RNAcentral is "long non-coding RNA (NBEN_LNC023470)". Lineage: Eukaryota; Viridiplantae; Streptophyta; Magnoliopsida; Solanales; Solanaceae. The record is from RNAcentral.